UACGUAGGGUGCGAGCGUUAAUCGGAAUUACUGGGCGUAAAGCGUGCGCAGGCGGUUCGUUGUGUCGGUGGUGAAAGCCCCGGGCUUAACCUGGGAAUGGCCAUGGAAACUGGCGAACUGGAGUGUGGCAGAGGGGGGUGGAAUUCCGCGUGUAGCAGUGAAAUGCGUAGAGAUGCGGAGGAACACCGAUGGCGAAGGCGGGUCUCUGGACAGUUCCUGACACUGAGGCACGAAGGCCAGGGGAGCAAACGGG
Molecule: ribosomal RNA, 253 nt
Filed under: uncultured bacterium
Lineage: Bacteria
Description: partial 16S ribosomal RNA
Rfam family: Bacterial small subunit ribosomal RNA
Source: RNAcentral